Molecule: ribosomal RNA, 253 nt
Filed under: uncultured bacterium
Lineage: Bacteria
Description: partial 16S ribosomal RNA
Rfam family: Bacterial small subunit ribosomal RNA
Source: RNAcentral
GACAGAGGAUGCAAGCGUUAUCCGGAAUGAUUGGGCGUAAAGCGUCUGUAGGUGGCUUUUUAAGUUCGCCGUCAAAUCCCAGGGCUCAACCCUGGACAGGUGGUGGAAACUGCCAAGCUAGAGUACGGUAGGGGCAGAGGGAAUUUCCGGUGGAGCGAUGAAAUGCGUAGAGAUCGGAAGGAACACCCAAGGCGAAAGCACUCUGCUGGGCCGACACUGACACUGAGAGACGAAAGCUAGGGGAGCAAAUGGG